UACGAAGGGUGCUAGCGUUGUUCGGAAUUACUGGGCGUAAAGGGAGCGUAGGCGGACAGUUUAGUCAGAGGUGAAAGCCCAGGGCUCAACCUUGGAAUUGCCUUUGAUACUGACUGUCUUGAGUACGGGAGAGGUGUGUGGAACUCCGAGUGUAGAGGUGAAAUUCGUAGAUAUUCGGAAGAACACCAGUGGCGAAGGCGACACACUGGCCCGUUACUGACGCUGAGGCUCGAAAGCGUGGGGAGCAAACAGG
RNAcentral lists this ribosomal RNA (253 nucleotides) under uncultured bacterium. RNAcentral's name for it is "partial 16S ribosomal RNA". It matches the Rfam family "Bacterial small subunit ribosomal RNA", at positions 524 to 776 of the family's 1533-position model. The record is from RNAcentral.